Molecule: long non-coding RNA, 615 nt
Organism: Cornus florida
Lineage: Eukaryota; Viridiplantae; Streptophyta; Magnoliopsida; Cornales; Cornaceae
Exons: 2
Source: RefSeq, a predicted model, not a curated record
AUUUGAUAUCAAAACUUGCUCGUGUGAAUUUUGACAUCAAGAGUACUUAUCCCUAAGAUGAAGAGUUGUUGGGUUCUUCCCCUCCUUUUGGUGCUUUUCCUUGCCUUCUCUAAAGGUAGCAUUCAAUAUCCUCAAUAUGCUUGUCAGACCAAGCCUGGCUAUCUUGCGGAGUGCACGAAAGAGAAAUGCGUCCAGCUUUGUGGCGGUGGAAAAGAUGAUGGGCACAAAAAUCCUGGAUGUGUCGAUGAACAUUCCUGUUGUUGCUAUGUUAACAAAAAUUAACUGAAGUUGAUUAAUUUGUCAUUGCAACAGUGAUUGAUGAUCUUUAAUCAUCUUCUUCAUAAAUAUCAAGUGAAUGAGUGCAGGGAUGUGGCAAUUAUUGCUAGAGAAACUUGUGUUGAGUGAGUGUCUUUAGUUAUUAGGUAUAAAUUUGGAUGAUUUUCAAUUUAUUUAUUUAUUUAUUUUUUGACUAGGGGCCGUCUUUGGUUGCCUUUCUUUUGGUAACCGGUUUUUUUUUUUGUGAGGAUAUAUCUCUUCUUUUGUUUGUAUUCUUUUGUAUAUCAAUUAAAUAAGCACGUUCAGGAAAUAAUAAAUAAAUAAAGGCUGGCUCUUGUA